AGGACGAACGCUGGCGGCGUGCCUAACACAUGCAAGUCGAGCGAGGAGAUUCCUCGGGAUGAUCCUAGCGGCGGACGGGUGAGUAACACGUGGGCAACCUGCCUCAUAGAGAGGAAUAGCCUUCCGAAAGGGAGAUUAAUACCUCAUAACAUUGCAGUUUCGCAUGGAACAGCAAUUAAAGGAGUAAUCCGCUAUGAGAUGGGCCCCGCGGCGCAUUAGCUAGUUGGUGAGGUAACGGCUCACCAAGGCGACGAUGCGUAGCCGACCUGAGAGGGUGAUCGGCCACAUUGGGACUGAGACACGGCCCAGACUCCUACGGGAGGCAGCAGUGGGGAAUAUUGCACAAUGGGGGAAACCCUGAUGCAAGCAACGCCGCGUGAGUGAUGACGGCCUUCGGGUUGUAAAGCUCUGUCUUCAGGGACGAUAAUGACGGUACCUGAGGAGGAAGCCACGGCUAACUACGUGCCAGCAGCGGC
This 476-nucleotide ribosomal RNA is filed under the name uncultured bacterium. RNAcentral's name for it is "bacterial SSU rRNA". It matches the Rfam family "Bacterial small subunit ribosomal RNA", at positions 26 to 518 of the family's 1533-position model. The record is from RNAcentral.